Molecule: RNA transcript, 1720 nt
Organism: Zea mays
Lineage: Eukaryota; Viridiplantae; Streptophyta; Magnoliopsida; Poales; Poaceae
Source: RefSeq, marked validated
UCUCUCUCGCUCUUCUCUCUCCGCGUUCUUAUCAGUAGCGAGCUCGGCACGUCAUUGUGCACUGCUCCACCGAGCUGAGCCUGAGCGCGAGCCUCCGUCCGAAGUCCAAAUAAUCUUCAGCUCUCCUCGACGCAUGCCCGGAUCGAUCGGUCCAGUUCUACCCGCCGGAGGAGGAGGAGGAGGAGGCAGAUCGACCGGCAGCUGACUAAGGUGGAUCCACGGAGGAGGCAUGGCAAGAGGCCCCUACCCGCCGCCGAGGUGGAAGAGGAGGAGGAGGAGGAGGCGCUGCCCCCGGGCCCGCCGCCCGCAAAGCACGAGCAGCUGGAGGAGCCUCACCACGCCGCCGUCUCGCAGCUGCAAGGAGCCACCUUUAGCGGCGGCGGAGGGUCGUCGUCGUCUUCCGUGAUCGGUGGCCCGUCGCCGCCGCAGGCGUACGCGCAGUACUACUACUCGGCGCGCGCCGACAACGACGCCUCCGCCGUGGCCUCCGCGCUUGCCCACGUCAUCCGGGCCUCGCCUGACCAGCUUCCGCCGCAGCAGGCGCCGGCCUUGUACGGCGCCGGCGUCCCGGGCAGCCUUCGGCUGGGAGACCACCCGCAAGCGUCUGCGCACCACUAUCCCGGUCCCGGCGGCCACGUCGCCGCCGCCGAGGAGGAGCAAGCAGGUCGGAGGCGGCACUACCGGGGGGUGAGGCAGCGGCCGUGGGGCAAGUGGGCGGCAGAGAUCCGGGACCCCAAGAAGGCGGCGCGGGUGUGGCUCGGCACCUUCGACACGGCGGAGGACGCCGCCAUCGCCUACGACGAGGCGGCGCUGCGGUUCAAGGGCACCAAGGCCAAGCUCAACUUCCCGGAGCGCGUGCAGGGCCGAACCGACCUCGGCUUCCUCGUCACCCGCGGCAUCCCGGACCACCGGCACCCGUCGGCGGCGGUGACCCUGGCAGCAAUGCCGCCGCCGCACCACCAGCACGGCCACCAGACCGUCGUGCCGUACCCCGACCUCAUGCAGUACGCGCAGCUGCUGCAGGGCGGCCGGGGCGGCGGCGGCCACGCCGAGGCGGCGGUCCAGCAGGCGCACCGUCAGCAGCAGCAGCAGCAGCUCAUGACGAUGAUGGGCGGUCGGCCGGGAGUCAACCUGCCCUCCACGUUCUCGCCGUCGUCGUCCGCAUCGGCGCCGCAGAUACUGGACUUCUCCACGCAGCAGCUCAUCCGGCCCGGCCCGCCGUCGCCGUCGCCGCCGCGGGCCGCGGCAAUGCCGUCCUCGUCGGCCGCUGCGGCGCCGUCCACGCCGUCGUCCACGACCACAGCGUCGUCGCCCAGCGGCGGUGCAUGGCCGUACGGCGGGGAGCGCCACAGGAAUAAAAAAGACGCGUGAUCGAGAGCUGGCGCCUGGCCGGACGGGGAUCAGAUCAAGUAGCUGUGUGGAGGAAUAUGCAUGCAAUAUGGGCGCGGGCGGGGUAAGUGGCAGCGACGGUUUUUGGUGCAGACAUGGGCAUUUCUCGGCCUUUUUAAUUUCCACGCACGUCGGUUUCUUUUUACUACUUCUUUUUUUUUUGUCACGAGAUGAUCGUUCUUUUGUUCAUUUCUUGGAGGAUCUUCUUUUCAUCACUUGAUUAGAGAGAGAUAGCUAGCUAGAUGCUAGGAGAUUGCUACCUUCUUCCUUGUCUGAUGGUCUGAUCUGCUGCUCAUCAUAGCUUUAAUUUGUUCAAGUGUCAACUGAUUAA